RNAcentral lists this ribosomal RNA (530 nucleotides) under Staphylococcus hominis. RNAcentral's name for it is "bacterial SSU rRNA". It matches the Rfam family "Bacterial small subunit ribosomal RNA", at positions 79 to 594 of the family's 1533-position model. The record is from RNAcentral. Lineage: Bacteria; Bacillati; Bacillota; Bacilli; Caryophanales; Staphylococcaceae.
CUUGCUCCUUUGACGUUAGCGGCGGACGGGUGAGUAACACGUAGGUAACCUACCUAUAAGACUGGGAUAACUUCGGGAAACCGGAGCUAAUACCGGAUAAUAUUUCGAACCGCAUGGUUCGAUAGUGAAAGAUGGCUUUGCUAUCACUUAUAGAUGGACCUGCGCCGUAUUAGCUAGUUGGUAAGGUAACGGCUUACCAAGGCAACGAUACGUAGCCGACCUGAGAGGGUGAUCGGCCACACUGGAACUGAGACACGGUCCAGACUCCUACGGGAGGCAGCAGUAGGGAAUCUUCCGCAAUGGGCGAAAGCCUGACGGAGCAACGCCGCGUGAGUGAUGAAGGUCUUCGGAUCGUAAAACUCUGUUAUUAGGGAAGAACAAACGUGUAAGUAACUGUGCACGUCUUGACGGUACCUAAUCAGAAAGCCACGGCUAACUACGUGCCAGCAGCCGCGGUAAUACGUAGGUGGCAAGCGUUAUCCGGAAUUAUUGGGCGUAAAGCGCGCGUAGGCGGUUUUUUAAGUCUGAUG